UACGUAGGGGGCGAGCGUUGUCCGGAUUUAUUGGGCGUAAAGAGCUCGUAGGCGGCUUGGCAAGUCGGGUGUGAAACCUCCAGGCUCAACCUGGAGACGCCACUCGAUACUGCUAUGGCUAGAGUCCGGUAGGGGACCACGGAAUUCCUGGUGUAGCGGUGAAAUGCGCAGAUAUCAGGAGGAACAUCGGUGGCGAAGGCGGUGGUCUGGGCCGGCACUGACGCUGAGGAGCGAAAGCGUGGGUAGCAAACAGG
This 254-nucleotide ribosomal RNA is filed under the name uncultured bacterium. Its description in RNAcentral is "partial 16S ribosomal RNA". It matches the Rfam family "Bacterial small subunit ribosomal RNA", at positions 524 to 776 of the family's 1533-position model. The record is from RNAcentral.